RNAcentral lists this ribosomal RNA (888 nucleotides) under Triticum aestivum (bread wheat). RNAcentral describes it as "partial small subunit ribosomal RNA". Lineage: Eukaryota; Viridiplantae; Streptophyta; Magnoliopsida; Poales; Poaceae. The record is from RNAcentral.
AUGGACGCCGACGACUGGGGUCUUGGGGCGGUCGUGAGGAGCUGCGGUGGCGGUGUCGUCCCCGGCUACGAAGCAGAGUCUCCUCGCCGGGAAGUCGUGCGUGCGCGGGAGGAUCCGGCGGAAUUCGUGAGGCGACCGGCGAGGGCGGCGUCCACGCCGUCGUCGCUGUACGACGUGCUGGAGUACCUGGACUUGGAGCACGAGCAGCUGCAACAGCGGGCGCCGUUCUCUAUCACAUCGUCGUCCGGCUGUGAACGGGCGCUGGCGGAGCAGGACGAGGUGCUCAUCUCCUUCCCUGCAGCUGCGGCCUCGACGUCCGGGCAGGCGCUGCCCGCGAGGAAGCAGGCCGGCCGGAAGCCGGGAGGUGCUGGAGCCCUCCGCCGGCCGAAGAGAGGCAAGAGCAAGAAGAGCCAGAUGAAGAAGGUGGUGCGGGAGGUGCCGGUGGCCGAGGGCGGCGUAAACGGCCCCGACGACCAAUGGGCGUGGCGCAAGUACGGCCAGAAGCCCAUCAAGGGCUCCCCCUACCCUAGAGGGUACUACAAGUGCAGCAGCAUGAAGGCGUGCACGGCGCGGAAGCUGGUGGAGCGCAGCCCGGCCAAGCCCGGCGUGCUCGUCGUCACCUACAUCGCCGACCACUGCCACGCCGUGCCCACCAACAUAAGCGCGCUCGCUGGCACCACGCGCCACCCGCCCCAGUCGCCCGCGUCCGACGACACGGCGUUGAACCGCGGGGACGACAGCGCCGACGUCUCGUGGUCCGCCGCUGGCGCGGACGACGAGUCUGAGCUCUGGUCGCCCGUGGACAUGGACGAUUUCUUCGCCUCUUUUGACGACGAUUUUGAUCAUUUCUUCGAGGACGACGCCAUUGGGCGACGGGUCUCGCUGUAG